CAUUUGAAUACAUAGACCCCAACGUCGAACACUAAGCAAAUUCACAUUAUGAUUCUGUUACUUAAAUGAUAAAUUAUAACGAUAAAGGAAUGUAAAUUAUAUUUUAUUGUGUAUUAUAAUUAUGAAAAUUACUAUAAAUACUCUCAUAUUUACAGAAUCAGGAGAAAACAAUUCAGUACAACCAUUAGUAGUUGCAACAGUCAGUGGUGGAAUAACCAUUGUUUUAGCAAUACUGCCUUUGAUUUUAUAUGCAAAAAG
Molecule: long non-coding RNA, 258 nt
Filed under: Mytilus galloprovincialis (Mediterranean mussel)
Lineage: Eukaryota; Metazoa; Mollusca; Bivalvia; Mytilida; Mytilidae
Source: RNAcentral